GUGUAAGACAAGACUUCUUCGGAAGACAUUCGUCAGUUAUUGAUCGAUCAGUCAAGAAGUGGAUGGUAUAGCGAUUGUUCAGUCGAAAUGGUUUGCCAUAACAAUGAAAGUUUUUUGCAACAAUCUAGUCGAUAUUUUUUUAAACAAUUUACGGUUGGGAGGAAGGGGAUUCGAAAAUUGGUGACAGGAUGACAGCGCACAAUGAUAGAAACGAGUAGGGAAGUUCGGCGUAUGCAGAGAGGUUUUAUAGCAAGUUAAUAUGAUAGAGAGCGGAAAGAAGAAAGAAGCAAAUUAAUAGCUAAUAAAAAUAGAAUCCACAGCUAUAAAGCAAAAUGUAAAUUUACUUAUUUUAAACGCUCAUUUUACUAUUAUUCAGUUGAAUUAUAUUGAAUUUUUCAUUUAUUGUUGGUAAAGAAUCGUUAUUCAAGAUGAGUCACAGUACAGUAAGAUUCGUAUCCAGUAUGAUUUUAAAAUUAUAAUCGAGUUGCGCCAGGUUGAAACUCAUAAAUAAACUACAGAAUACUCAAUUUGAAAAUAAACUACAGAAACUCAUAAAAAUGAUAUGCUUGUAUGUUGGAGUAGCUCGGCAAAGCUAAUUAAGGUCUUGAAGAAAAUUUGGUUCCCACUGAGCUCUUUGAGUAAUGAGGCAUACACAGUGUAUUUUCUGAGUUUUUUGUUAGACUGGCCUUUUCCUUUCUAUAACUUAUACAGAACAUCUGAGUUUUAAGGUAAACUUUCCAAGCCCUCUUUAAUUUUCACUGCUGAUGAAGGCAUCGAAAGCAAUAAUAGUAUUUCUUAUGUCACCUUUAAGUCUCUGCUUCAUAGUCGAAUUGAGUUCUACUAAAAAAGUUUUCGUAGAAAAAAUUUGGAAAGGUUUUUUGUAUCAAAUGCUACUACGAAUUUUCAUAUUUCCUCCACCUUAACUGUUUGAUUCUGUUUCAAAAUACAAUACCUCUAUCUACGAACGUUUGGAUUGAAAGAAAUCAUUUCAAUGGGUCUCUGUCACGAAGUGCUGAUUCAGCACGUAACAUCAACAACAAUCUAAGGGAAAUGGCUGCUGAAUUGUGAAGUGUGCCUUGGGUUCGCAGGCGAAAAAGGAAACUUUAUGCUAAGAAGACCAUAACCAGAGCAUAAAAUCUGAUGGAAAGUAAUUAUAGAUAUUCAAGCACUGUAUUUGCUUGUGAAACAUCAAGUGAUGAUCGUUUUGUAAGAUGUGAUUUUCACAAAUGUAAAAAGCAUGGCAAGGACCUUAACAAAGAACCAGAAUGGCUCCUUAAUACUCCAAAGAAUGUGAAGAUAUUGGAGCAGCAUGUGGGCCAGGAAAUCUUUCAUUACAUUAAAGAGUAUGAAGAAACCAACAAGUGUCUGGAUAGAAAACUUUGUGAAAGCAAUGUGGAUCUUCUAAUCAAGCCACAUGAACUGCACAGGUUUUCAAUGAUAAUAGUUUGCCUUAAUUUACGAGAUCACCAGGCAGAGCUUGGUUUGUGGAUCCAGGCAUUUGUAAAUGCUGCAUCUGUAGAAAAUGGUAUGUUUCAUUUUGCUUAUAAGCUAUAUCUAAUUAGAGAUUCAAUUUACAAAAUUCAUUAUCCUAAGAAUUAUGAUAUAUGAUAUAUGAAUCUUGUUCAGAGCACUUUUAAACAAGUUUUCACCACAAGGCGAAAAAUCCAGGAGGAAAGAUUUUUGCAGAAAUUAUUAUUUUUGAAAAAUUUUUCUACUAUAAAGUUUAUGAAGAUCUCAUUACUCAAUUGAGGAAAUUUUUAUGAAAAUAUUUCCUUUCAAAGCCUCUUGCCUAUAAAGUUUGCUGCAUAGCUCUGUAUUUUUUCCAUCUAUCUCUCUUAAUCUGAAACAUGGGUAGUCAUUGGUCAGAAUAUGAUGUACAUCUUAAAAUAUGCUUUUCUAUUUAUUUCUCCAUAUAACAAUGGAAUUGGCAUUUUCUUCAUUAUUUUAAGGUUUUAGAUACCGAAAUCCCUUGCUGUUAUGAUGUCUUACAAGAAACGAUCUGAUUUUUGAAAAAUGAUUUGCGCGCAGCAUUUUAAACAUCUUACAUAGUCAAUCAUUCAUUAGCGUUGUUAUCCAUAGUUGCUAUGAAGUAGCCUCCCAAUCUUCUAUUGGAAAUAUAUUUGCUGUCUAUCACCUUUUGCCACAUCCUUUAAGCUGCUUUUAGGCUAUGCUUUUAGGCAAUACGUCUUUAAGCAAAGCGUGUAUGUGUUCAGCAAUAUCAGGUUUUAUCUUCUAAAUUAAGUGACUCCGCUUUUCAUGGAGAUGUUCUGGAAAAUGACAUCAAACACAAACAAUCGUUCAUUCACCAGCUAAGGCACUUUUUCUUGAAGACAAAUGCAUCAUAGAGUCCACAUGUUUCUGCUUGUCCAAAUUUUCCAUAGUGCUUCUUUAUUUCCACUAGUACCUGUAUUUUCAACAUCAGUUUUCACAUCAAAAAUUUUUUCAGCCCUUUGACAGUCUAAAGACAGGCUACAAGUAAGUCUAACAGUCCAUUGACAUCAUCUUUAUAACUGUUUCUAGCCCUAAGAAAACAAGUUACAGCAAAUAUGGAAACCUUUAAGACACCCGUUUUUGAAAGGAAGUCAAUAAAAUGUGAUCAUCAAUAAAUAUGAGAAAAUCACAAAAUUUUCAAAAUCUAGACUAAGAAAACUGGAAGAGUUGGGUGUUUUGAAUCACUUGACACUAGAGAGCCAAACCUGUACAUUCAUUACACCAUACAACAGUCAAAUUUUCUACCUUUGCAACACACCUUAGGUUCCGAAAGGUGAUGAGCUGCAAUUUAGCAUUAAACAACAAACAAUUGAUAAAACACAUCAUACUUCUAAACAACUCGUCAAUAAACAGUCAUACACGUAAUCAUUUGGAAGUCGUGGGUAGCUCACUAUCGCUGCUUGAAAAUGAAUUUCCUAGUCAAUCCUUAUAGAAGAUGUGCAUAAAUUCAAAAAAAUUCUCAUGCACAAAAUAUGGCAUCACGAUUUUUAAAUGAAUAAAACUGUUGACAAAGAAACGAAGGGGGAAUCGUGGUACGGUUGACCAUGCUGAUUGUAAGCUUUUUAAUGGUCUACAUGUGAGAUUAGCCGAUGAGCCAGCAUGAUAAUAUAAAUAAAAUGAUGGUCAGAAGCUGACA
Rhopilema esculentum is the source of this 3127-nucleotide non-coding RNA. NCBI's taxonomy places the organism in Eukaryota, Metazoa, Cnidaria, Scyphozoa, Rhizostomeae, Rhizostomatidae. The record is from RefSeq and is a predicted model, not a curated record.